RNAcentral lists this long non-coding RNA (630 nucleotides) under Oryza brachyantha (malo sina). Its description in RNAcentral is "long non-coding RNA (OBRA_LNC002384)". The record is from RNAcentral. Lineage: Eukaryota; Viridiplantae; Streptophyta; Magnoliopsida; Poales; Poaceae.
CUCGUCCCACCACCGGCUCGCCAGCUUCUAGCUACCUAGCUAGGGUUAACUCCUUCUUCUUCUUGGCCUCCGAUGGAUGGAUCCCUUGAAUUAAUUGAUGAUUAGGAUAUUAGCUUUGAGCUAUAGCCGCCGCCAUAGCUAUCGAUCUGCCUGCCUGCAGCUACUUCUUGCUCACUGCAUCAUAUGUAUUUGAUUGAUUAGCUAGCUGAAUUAUUUUUUUCCCUGAAAGAUCUAUCUAUCUAUUGAAAGAUCGAUGCAGACAGUGCAGUCGAUUGAUCGAGCACCUUGUCAACUAUGAUCUGCGCGGGCGGAGAAAUUAAGAUGAAAUUCGAGUAUGUGAAUAUGUAUGGUAUCAUUUGGAUGCAAGAAAAAUGGGGAACAAUCACGCAUGAAAUUAAUUAAUUAAGCUGUACCUUGCGUUUCAGUCGGGGGAUUAUUGGUAUGAUAUGAUGGAGUAUGUAGCAGCAAGAUGAUUUGAAGGCCUCGACCACUAUAUAUCAGCUGCAGCUGCAGCUGCCUGCAGGGUCUCAACAAGCAAGCUCGCUCUUGCUCGAUCGAUUUCCUCUUGAGUGAUCGAUUGAUUUUGCUGCUCCGAUCCGAUCCGCUUUAAUUUUUCAUCUGGUAUAUAAU